RNAcentral lists this ribosomal RNA (464 nucleotides) under uncultured bacterium. RNAcentral describes it as "partial 16S ribosomal RNA". It matches the Rfam family "Bacterial small subunit ribosomal RNA", at positions 29 to 507 of the family's 1533-position model. The record is from RNAcentral.
ACGAACGCUGGCGGCGUGCUUAACACAUGCAAGUCGAACGGAAAGGCCCUGCUUGCAGGGUACUCGAGUGGCGAACGGGUGAGUAACACGUGGGUGAUCUGCCCUGCACUUCGGGAUAAGCCUGGGAAACUGGGUCUAAUACCGGAUAGGAGCCAUUUUUAGUGUGAUGGUUGGAAAGUUUUUUCGGUGUAGGAUGAGCUCGCGGCCUAUCAGCUUGUUGGUGGGGUAAUGGCCUACCAAGGCGGCGACGGGUAGUCGGCCUGAGAGGGUGGACGGCCACAUUGGGACUGAGAUACGGCCCAGACUCCUACGGGAGGCAGCAGUGGGGAAGAUUGCACAAUGGGCGCAAGCCUGAUGCAGCGACGCCGCGUGGGGGAUGACGGCCUUCGGGUUGUAAACUCCUUUCGCUAGGGACGAAGCUUUUUGUGACGGUACCUAGAUAAGAAGCACCGGCUAACUACGUG